CAUCCACACCGAGCAGGCUGAAAAGUUAGCUUGGCCACGGUAGAUCGCGGGUUUGAUUCCCACCGUGGCCAAGCUAACUUUUCAGCCUGCUCGGUGUGGAUG
This is a non-coding RNA of Paramuricea clavata, 102 nucleotides long. Lineage: Eukaryota; Metazoa; Cnidaria; Anthozoa; Malacalcyonacea; Plexauridae. The record is from the annotation of a GenBank genome assembly.